UACAGAGGUCCCAAGCGUUGUUCGGAUUUACUGGGCGUAAAGGGUGUGCAGGCGGUCUGUUAAGUGGUGUAUGAAAUCGCCGGGCUCAACCGGGCGAGGUUAUGCCAGACUGGCAGUCUAGAGAGCGAGAGAGGGACGUGGAAUUCCGGGUGUAGUGGUGAAAUGCGUAGAGAUCCGGAGGAACCCCAGAGGCGAAGGCGGCGUCCUGGCUCGCAUCUGACGCUCAGACACGACAGCAUGGGGAGCGAACGGG
This 253-nucleotide ribosomal RNA is filed under the name uncultured bacterium. RNAcentral describes it as "partial 16S ribosomal RNA". It matches the Rfam family "Bacterial small subunit ribosomal RNA", at positions 524 to 776 of the family's 1533-position model. The record is from RNAcentral.